This 119-nucleotide small RNA is filed under the name Salmonella enterica. Its description in RNAcentral is "RtT sRNA". It matches the Rfam family "RtT RNA". From Rfam's summary of the family: This family represents a bacterial cis-regulatory element known as RtT RNA. The exact function of RtT is unknown although it is thought that it may be involved in changing the cellular response in relation to amino acid starvation. The record is from RNAcentral. RNAcentral also lists the same sequence under 4 other names. Lineage: Bacteria; Pseudomonadati; Pseudomonadota; Gammaproteobacteria; Enterobacterales; Enterobacteriaceae.
UGCAUCUGAAGUCUGACGAGGAUGAGAACCUCCGGGGGCAAGAGGUUCGACCCGAGCGAAGCGAGAGAACGUUGCGUCAGCAACGGCCCGCAGGGCGAGCCAUCCUCUAUCACCGGCAG